This is a long non-coding RNA of Pseudopipra pipra, 512 nucleotides long. RefSeq lists it as uncharacterized. The record is from RefSeq and is a predicted model, not a curated record. NCBI's taxonomy places the organism in Eukaryota, Metazoa, Chordata, Aves, Passeriformes, Pipridae. The transcript is spliced from 3 exons.
GGUAGAUCCUUUGAAUAGAUAGCCUUGAGUGUGUCCUUGUUGCACCAGUAGGCCUUGUCCAACUCCCCAUCUUCCAGGAGAUACACAUAUUAAAGUUUAAAAUGAUCCUUUUCCUAAUCCUUUGUUGUCUUGAGGCUCUCCCCUGCAGGAACUCCAGGAACUCCUGGUGCCACCUGGGCCGAUGGAUUGGACGCCCCAGCCCCUCCGUUCCUGCCCAGCCACUGGGUCCGUGUCCAGUGGUGGCACUGCCAGCCCUGCAGUGGGAUGUAGCCUGGAAACUGCAGAGAGCUGAGCCAAGGGAUUGAAAGGGACCAAGCAAGGGAGGUGAAGAAAGAAGGAAGAAGGGAAGUGAGGCAGCAGCCAAGCAGCAGCAAGUUGCUGUGUAAGCAGUUUGGUGUUUACAGAGGGAUAAUAACUCCUGUCAGCAGCAAGGUCCUGACUGAAGUGGCAGCUGCAGUUGUUCCUGUGGUGUGGGCCAGUGGAAUUCCAAGAAAUGGACAAGGACAGAAGCU